GAUUUAUUCAGUUUCAGGAAUAAUACAAAAACACAGAGUCAAGAACGAACAAUCUGCCUGUAAUGCAUUGGCGAAUACGAGAAGUUACACCUCGCUGCAGCAAGCAGUAAGGGGCGGGGAAGGACCUUUUUUUGUUUUAUUAGACAAGAUCUUUAUUUAUAAAUACAACGAAAAACUAGAAAGUGUGCAUUUUUAGGCACAAGCCAGAGGUGGAAGCUCGAGGAGCGGAAGGAGAACCGAGUGAACGUAUCAAACAAACGAAGGCGGAAGGAUUUGAUUUUGGUGGAUCGCAUAAACUGUACAUUGACUGUAGCAACAUGGCUUCUACAUCAGGAGUUAAUAGUGGAAAUGAGAUGGAAUGGAUGAUAUAAUUCCUUCAUCUAUAUCAAUAUUAGUGUACAAACUGUUGAUGUCAAUUGUAAAAAAAAAUAGAAUCCUGAGUUGGAGACGAUGGGCCUGCCGGGAGGGAUUUCAUGAGGUUUGCUCCACUUUUCCGGUUCUUUAUGGAUCUUUGGGAGCAAAUAAAACCUCCUGGCUCUGGGUUCGGAGGAGCCACGCAGGGAGAAGACCAACGGAGCAGACAGCAGCCAGGUGUGGCAGAACGAUGGGAGGGUCGCAAAAGAGAUCGGCUGUUUUAUGUGCAGCGGUUAGGGUUAGGUGGCGAGAGAGGCGCACGGAGUGGACCGCAGGUUCCAGAUGUAGUGGAGGCAAACCAAAGGGUUCGUCCUCCGGGUUCUGGCUGCCCUGAUUCCAAGUGGAGAACAAGUUUAUUUUGGACUGAGGACAUUUUUUAAGUAUUGUACAGAUUCUAGCAAAAGAGAACAGAACUUUUUAUUCCUUUGGUGUCUGCUGGGAAUAAAAAUUGUUUAAAUCUAA
Xiphophorus hellerii (green swordtail) is the source of this 876-nucleotide long non-coding RNA. RefSeq lists it as uncharacterized. The transcript is spliced from 3 exons. NCBI's taxonomy places the organism in Eukaryota, Metazoa, Chordata, Actinopteri, Cyprinodontiformes, Poeciliidae. The record is from RefSeq and is a predicted model, not a curated record.